GGCCGCGCUCCGCCAGCACCACCUGCCGGCAGCGCCCGCGGCAGGGACGCGCCCCGCGGAGUCCCCGACACCACCAGAACAGCCAGAGACAUUGAAAACAAACAACAAUAAUAGCGACGAAAAUAUAUUAACAUAAAAAAAACCCCAGUACUAAGUAUAAUUACAAUAAAUUAAUAUUGAUAGUAGUAGAACUACCACUAACCGGACCACAGCAAGAACUGAAUAUCCGUGGUCCGUGCCCUGCCCGGGCCUCUGCGUGUCCCUAUGCCCAGGAAUGCCAGGGCGACCAGCUCCGUUGCCACCGAUGGAACCAGAAUGAAUCCCAAAGUCUCUUACUGUUCCCUCAAACCCAAAUUUCUGCAUUAAGCAGUUUUUAAAGGUAAAGUAACACCUCUGAUCCAGGGUGUUUCAGCAACACCUCAUGAGGCACUGAAAGAGGUUGCUCAGAGAUGCUGUGAGUGCUCCAGCCCUGGAAGUGUUCAAGACCAGGCUGGAUGAGGCUCUGACCAACCUGGUCUAGUGAAAGUUGUCAGAUCCUUCAAGUCCCUCCCAACCCAAACCAUUCUAUGUUUGUAUGAAAAUCUGUGGCCAACUGCUCCCCCUCCCCCAUCCUCACACUGUCACAGCUAGCAGAGAGCCAGCUGCCGCUCCUGGUGCUGGAGGGGAGUAGAAAAGCAGCCUGGACACUGUUACUGGAAAGGGAGAAAUAAAGAACAAAACCACAGCAAUUCAAAUUGCUAAGAAAAUCACUAAUAAAUAAAUAAACAAAGCACUAUAAUAAAAAAAAUCACUAAUAAAUAAAACACUCAAAUAAACAAACAAGCAGUAACACUGCAAAGUAACAUUAGCAAAGUAUCGUGUAUACACACAAUCUGUAAGCAGUGAAAUGAAGCCAAACCAUCACUAUGUAUUUGAUUUUUUAAAAUCCAUUUUAAGUAUGCUUAUCAAUUGUCUCUAACUGAAAUGUGGUCUUACAAAUUUUUCAAAGACAGAGUUUCAGUUAGAACUUUUCACUCAAACAGAGUGAUUCAGCUGUAAUGCCUUUAUCUUGAAAAGUAAAAUGUAAUUUUCAAUUUUUGACAGUAGGUUGCAAUUUAAAAUGAUAAUACAAUUUAUUAUAUAAAUUAUGCCAUAAAUGAAAAUAUAAUCUAGAAUAAUUUCUGGUUUUUUAUAUAUAGAAAGAAAAAUCUUUUAGUUCCCAUUACAUUAAGAAACACCAGAAGCAACUUAAAAAUCCUAGUUUAUAAUUUUAUUUUCAAUUUUAUUAUUCUUCUCUUUUAUGAAUUUUUCUCUUCUCUAGGAGGUUUUAUUACUAUCAGAGUCUCAGUGCAGAUUUUAUUUGACAGCAAUUUUUGGGCUGGACACUUUGACUUGGCUAUUCCCCAGAGUCAUCCAGCAGAGCUAUGUCACCCAGCCCUCAAGAUACAGAGCGACGAACUGAGGACAGACCUUCUGCUUGCUUCUGCUGUGAAAGAGUUGGAAAAACAUGAUACUCACACUUUUACUAACCAGUAGAUAAACCAAUAUAAAUUUCCAUCUCCACUGUUGGCAAUAUUGUUAGCUCAAUUAACUCUAACUGAAAAGUCAGUCCUGGAUGUGUUUCUGGGGAUGGGGUUGGGUAGAUGCUUUUAUAAUUCCCUUUUUUAAGUCACAGGUUCUUAGCACCACUGUUUUGAUGAACACAAUAGUGCAGCACACCUGCAACAUCAGGAUAAAUUGCAGACACAUACCUAUAUAAUCUCUUUUGCUAGACAGGUUGUGUAUUAAAAAAAAAAACCAACAAAACAGUUGUAAAAGCUACCAGACCUUUUAAGCUUGUGGCAUCACAAAAAACACAAAAAUACCUCUAUCAGCUAACACAGUUGAUUGCAAAAGCAUGAGUUAUAAAAUCUUAAUUUGCACAAGCACAACUCUCAGUAUUUGGGGAGUAGCACAUUAGCCAUUUUACAAACCAGAUUAUAUUACUGGCAGAUUAUGCUGGUAUUUGUUUUAUACCUUGGUGGUGAAAAAGGUUAAGAGGUUAAAUAUUGUACCUGUAUCCCAGUGAGACACUUUGCACAACACCACAUGAAUUUUGUGUUUUACUCUGUUUUCAUUUUCAGUGUGAAAUAUUUGUGCACAACUGUUCAUUUCAAUAUCCUAAAAAUAUUUUAUCAAUGCUAUGAUCUAGGUAUGGAUUGUAAAACAUAAAAGUACAGUAAAUUUAAUGGAAAGAAGUGUUUAAGAAUUAAAAUCAAGCAAUAGAUGUUUUAUCCAGAGAGCAUUUUAAAAACAAAAGUAUAGGUUAAUUGUAUGAUAAAAAUCCUCUUAAUUAACAGCUAAAUCAACACGUAUUAAAAGGCACUUCACAACAACUGAUCGUACAUCAGCCAAAAUUAGCUGAUUUUGUGGCUUUAAACAGCAGUGAGGCUGCUCUACUGAUCUAAAUCUAAAUGCUGAACUGCUGAACCCAUUUUCUAGGAUAAAUUUAGCUGUUCUUUCGUGUUCCAUUUUUCUUUGGUACUUGGAUCAGUUAUGCAGUGUAUAAUUAUGCCAGUGCAGUUAGACAGUGCUUUCCAUCUGAAUGUCUCAACACGCUUUUCAGACUUAAUUACUUUGGGUUUGGGAAUCCUUCAUGACGUAGAUACUAAUACUCAAAGUCAAUAGGGAAGGAAACAGAGUCAGGGAAGAGGGGAGUACCUAGAAAAGGAUGGAAAUGAAGCCUCAGUUUCCUGGAAUCUAUUUUUUGUUGCCACCUUGCUUUUACAAUGUGUGAAACCAAGAUGCUCUUCAUGUUUAGCUUCUGGACAUAUCAGGAAAUACCUUGCUUUUGACAAUGGUAAGUAGUGUGGCACUGACCUUACACAAAAGCCCAAGUAAAAGCCAGAUGCUAAAUACUUCUUCUUCAUCCUCACAAGUACUGUCACCCAUUUGCAUUCCCAAAAGGAGCCUACCAACUACCUAGAAGCCCAGGGCAAGGCACAGGGGUGUCCUUCCCACUCCUCUUAAGCACACAGCAUCACUUGGUACUAGGAGUUAAGCGCUUACACAGAACAUGAAGCCAAGCUCCAUCUUUUCUCAGCAUGAGAGAAAACUCACACUUUACCUUGCACCUCUGUGGAGAGUUUCGUAUGAUUUCAUUUUAUAUGAAAGACACCUUUCUCUUUCAAGCUAUUUUUCUUAGCAGAAAAUAGACAAAAUUUCUUUUUUUCUGAAAUAAAUCUAGAAAAAUCCCUUCAGCAGAAGUUCUUGGCUGUAGAUGGCUUUACUUGAAUAGUAAAGAGAAAAUGGUUUUAGACAUACCUAUGUUGUCAAAAUAUUUCACCAAGUAAAUGAACUUAAUAUACUUGAGAGACCAUGAAUGUACUUGAGGACUGAAUAUCUUUAUCAGCUGGCUACCUUUAAGGCUUGAAUAGAAGGGAAAAUAAACCUCACAUGCUCAUUUUUACACGUUUUAUCACAUUUUGCACACUGAAGAAUUCCUAAAGUGCAACAUAAACUUCAGAUCUGAGGAACCCUUCUCUGCUCAGCCCUAACCUCUCACUAUUUUAGCACCUCGGUUUAUUAGAGGGACGGAAAAUUGCAUCUCUGGCACCUAGAACCUUAACACUGGUUUGUCAAGAUUAGGAAGCUUUUUUGUUUCCAAAUCUGUUUUUCUGGGCUUUAGGACUUUCAUUCAGAGGACAGCUCAAACUCAGAAUAGAUGCCGUCCAUAACAGCCAUGCUCAAGCAAGAGGAUCAGCUGAACACAGGAACAGCUAUUAAUGCUACACACUCUGUGUGCUAACAAGCCCAGCUGAAAAGCAGGCCUUAUUAGGUGGAAUCCAGGAUCAUGAAAAGAAAGGAUAGCUGCAUAGCAGUUUGCUGUAUUAAAUGAUAAAUCAGCCAUGCAGAAAGAGAGCAGAGAGGUAAAACACUCAUUAGCAUUUCCCAGACAUAUCUAGCUUAUCUAGGUCACUGUAAAGUAAGUACUCACCACUUUGACUGCCAAAGCUUUAAUUCUUUUCUAAUGUCUAGAAACACAUAAUGAAGUAAAAUAAUUAACUGAUUGUUAACAUAUGAGUGGCAUCAUGUGUUGUUCAUAUGUACCUACAUAGUUCUGUGGUACUACUUAUGAAGAAGUAUAUGGUGCAAUGCAAGAAAUAUGAAUCCAGAAUACAGAUUCCUUCUCACCCAACUGCACUUGCCUCUUUAAACCAUCUUGUAUUUUGCUUUUGGCAGUGUGUAUGGGCUGUCACCAACACAGAACUCCUAGAGGUCAUAAUACUGGAAGGAUUCAGCGACACAGAAGAACAGAGUUGCAAAGAUAAGGUCUCCAUGGGAGCUGCAGGGUACUCCUUCAGCAUGUGUUUCCCCAGCACAAGAAUACUAGCUUCUCCUCGAGUUCAACCAUACAAGGGUGUUUGUCUACAGGAUCAGUCGUAUCCUGAUGUUCUCAGGCAAGCCCAGCCAGUUAUUUCCUCUAACUCACACUUCUAGUUAAGAGUUAGGGGUACCUCAGAAAACAUUGACUCCUCAAGGAUGUGUGAACAAAGUCCUCUAAGUGCCAAUUAUACAGCCACCAUUCUCAUUGCUAUUAUUGUUUAUUUUAAGUGCUAACUACAGUUUUUUUGAUCCCUGGAUUAGCAUUUAAAUUCCUGAAUAUAACAGCAUUGCAGGAAUACAUGAAAAGGCAUGAGAAAACUGAGUGUACAGAUAGAUGUGCUUAAUUCAGUAGAGCUCAGCUUAUCCUUUGACUCCUGUGGUGCAUGUACGCAUAUAAUGUUCCUCCCUUAUAGCUAUGCAAGUAAUUCUUAGUGACAAAGAGUAAUCUUAUUACUGGCUUCCUCCAUGUUAAGAUGGAGAAGAUUGGGAGAUAUACAGAAUGUUUAAUGAUGCAUGUGGCAUGCAAGAGAAACUAUGUAAUUUACUGGGAAAGACACUGGAGGAAAGAGCGCUCGAGUGACACAUCACUGCUCCUCUGUCAAGAAUAAAAAGAAGAACAAAUUAGGGUUUGUUAAUUUCCUUGGCCACACUUCUGCCUCUAAGAAUUCUACAGUAGAAAAAUUUGCAUUGAUCUAAAAUAUUUGCUUGAAUAAUGAGGGUCAUAUAAACCAACAUAAACUUGCAUUCAUUUGGCACUCUCUGAUAUCCCAUAUUUGAGACUGAGGUAUAGUUUGCUACAGGCCUAGCUUGUGGAUCAAACAUUGUUAGCUGCAGCUUGUGCAAAUUGUGCAUGUUUCAGGACCACUGAACAUUAUCUAUAAAAAGGAUUUAAGGUAGAUACUGCUGUAUCUCAAAUUGUUCACACACUUCUGAGCACUAAAGAUACUCGUGAGUGCAAAGAGCACAUUCAAUAUUUAAUAAUACAGUGGUAGAAACAAAACCAGUGUGAACUCUGUGUCAAGUCUGGAAUGGAAUUAGAUACAGAGACCAUGGUGAAGGUAAAUGGUAUCUCAGCUGUCCUGCAGAACUCUGCCUGCAGACUCUGCAAAAUGAGCUGCAGGACCCAGGGAAACUUGCUGAACAUCCCUCCGGCCUGACCAAUUAGAGCAGUCUGCAUAGGCUUUAUCACUGUGUCUUAUCUUUUAAAGGAGGGAACAGAACCUCAGGUAGUAUAAAUUACUCUUGUCACUUCAAUUCCAGCACCUAUUUAAACCAAUUUACACCAUUUGCCUUAAUGAACAAAGCAGAAAUUGACCUGGUAAUAGGAAAUAUGCUGGAUUUGCAGAUUAAAACCUCUUCUCUUGAAAGAAUUGUGCCUGUAAUAUGUAACCCUUUUUGUCUCUAAUCUAGCUUAGACAGCCCAUGACAGACAUGUUUUUCAAACAUGUAAUAGCAGUAUUCACUAUGAAAACCAUACCUAGAUAAGCCACUAUCACUGAGCUAGGAGACAUGAGACACUUCCCAUCCUAAAUAGCAGUUUUGCUUAAAUACACUACUUCCUUGGCAAAAUGAAAAUCUUCUGGUUUAAUCUUCAAUUAAAAGUAAUUAAUACCAGGGUUAUUUAUUUAAAAAUGAAGUAAGUGGAAAUUUCCACUGCAGAGAAGUCAUGUCUUAUAAUGCCCACUCAAUACUAUUUCUGAAAAUACCCAUUACAGAUCGAUGGAAGCUGACUUAUUCAAGCAUUAAGUCUUGCUUGCUAGGAUAGGUGCAAUGAAGUGUUAUCAAAAGUAUAUAAUCUACUUUCAGGAUUAUUAACUUCCCAGAGCUCAAGUUACUUGUUUUAAAAGAAAAAAACAGCAAAUGAAUACAAAUCAAAAGGUAGAGAAGAUAUUUCCAAAUGCUUUGAAUUUAGAAUGAAAACUCUGACUGCUAUUUCAGUAUAAAAUUAAAGCAUUAAUCCUGAAGCACAGGCUAAUUAUAUUAUAUUAUACAUAUCCUAAAGUGAUUUGUUUGGAAUGCUUCAUUUCUGCUUAUUUUGUUAUUGACAUACAGGCUUUCCUUUCCUGAUAGACUCAAUAAGCUUUUCCUAGACACAUUUUUCUCCCUGUACCUUCACUCAACAUCGCUAUCACUUCACAGCAGGUAUAUGGAGUAACUGAUAGAGUGACUAUUUUAAAGAGUUCAUUGCCAUCUUAGAUUUCAUUUCAGAGUUGACCUCAAGCAGUUGCUGUGCUGAGAUGCUUUGUGCAUCCACAGUUACAGCUAGGCAUGAGUAUUUAGAAAUGCUGAUAAAGAGGCACUUUGUAUAAGCAAAAGAACACUUUGUACAGACCAGUAGAUUGAUGGUAAUCCUUUCCACUACUCUUACUACAGAGUUUGAAGCCAGAAGAGACCACCUGAAGAGGAUCAAAGGGCUGAAAAGAGGUGCAGGGGUGUCAAGAGGAUGGGUCCACACUAUUCAGUGGUGCCCAGCAACAGGACAAGGGGCAACAGGCACCAACUGAAACACAGGAAGUUUCACCUGAACAUAGGGAAAACCUUCUUUACUCCAAGGGUGGCAGAGCAUUGGAACAGGCUGCCCAGAGAGGUUGUGGAGUCUCCUUCUCUGGAGAUAUUAAAAACCCACCGGGACACAACACUGUGGAACCUGGUCUAGGUGAUCUGCUUUAGCAGGGGGUUGGUUGGACUGGAUGAUCUCCACAUGUCCCUUCCAACCCUAACUGUCCUGUGACUCUGUGAUUAAGUGGAAGUGAUUAAGUCAAUUACAAUGUUGAAUCAAUUACAGUAUCUCAGAAAUGAUCCCUCUACUGGUACCACACAUUGCUGACACUCAGUUGUUACGUGCCUAUACAAGUAAAGGUCUCCAGAGUUCUCAUUUCACAUACAGUGAUUACAGCUUAAAGAGGUUAGAAAACAACUUUUAGUUUUUAAGGAGCAUGUGAUGGUAAAGAAAAAGAAAAUUUAGUUUAAAAACCUUAAGGACAGUGAGUAAUAGCUGCUAUUUUGAUUUGCUAAUGUAUUCGAGCUGGGUAUCUAAAGCAGGGGUUUUAUCUUUAACUUCCAUCAAACCUUCCUAGACAUGUUCACCACUGAAAACUUAACAAGAAAAUUAACUGAACUGAAACAUGCGGACAAAUUAAAAAGACUCACUAAAUUCACUACAGCAGCUGAUGACGCCAUCACCAAACAGAAGAUACUAAUGGAGAAAUAUUUCUUGCAAUAAUAUCCAUCAUCCUGAAAUUGCUCUGGAAUAAAAGAAACACUGGUAGCUUUCUUCUGAAACAUUUAUUCUCAAUUUCAACAUGAUUAAAUAAAAAAAAUAUUUUUCUGCUUCUUUCCAAUAAAAGUAAUUAUUCAAAAGAAAGAGCAAAAUUGGACACUACAAGGGCAUACUUGAGGCAAAGCCAUCUUUUAAAACAUUUAGUACUUUGAGAUACCUGCCUCAUUCAGGGUAAAAUAUAGUCAUCGGAUCUUCAAUGUUAGAAAAGAAGAUUAAAAAAAGAAAAAUUACAGCACUUACAGUUUGAGGCUGAUGCAAUAAACACAAAUAGUUUUAAUUUAAGGCUUCAUAUUGAAAAAAACCAACCAAGCAAACAAACAAGCAAGUUUGCUUUUCUCUCUUGCAGGGGAAUAUUCCCAGACCUAUCCCUUGGCAGCUGCAACAUCCCAUGACAUUUUGGUGGCAGUGUCUAGAAGCAUCCUUAACACCCCAUCAGGUAAAUGGAGAUAAUAAAUAGCACUUGCCUGUCUCACAGCAGUUUGAGAAGAUAUAACAGAGAGGAUAAAAUGCACAGAAGUGUUAAAUCCCAACCAUCCUUGAGGAAAUGAUUUUCCAGGUGAACACAUUUUACUUCCAAGAUAUUUUCCUUAUGCUCGAUUUGAAUCUUUGGUGCUGUGAUUCCAUUCCCCUUGCUCCAGCAGUGUUACCCUAAACACACAUCAGCCAUUUUCACAUGUGCAUACAACAUUCCCAACACCUUAACUCCUCCCUGAAAACAUGUCUUACCUCUGCUACUUUGUAUACAUUUUUAAACUUCUGCUCUGAAAUCAACCCCUUUCACUUAAUGUUAUUGAUGUAUUUCAAAUCUUCUUUUGAUUUCCUUCCAAUCUCUCAAAAUUUAAUAUUUCCUACAAAAUAUGUGUCCCUGUUUAAAGAAAUCAGUGGUGUGGUUCCACUAAUACGAGUGCAAACAUGAUUUUUAAUCUGUUCAUGAUUAUUUCUCGUAGAUGAGAAAUCUUUGUCUCCCUCUGCAUUACCAGGACUUCUUCUUCUUGCAUUUUAAAUCAGAAUAUUAAUCAUUACAUUUAUCAAUCUACGCUUUGCUGAGAGGAAUCUCUUCUUUCAGAGGUUUUUUUGGUUUGUUUUUUUUUUUUUGUUUGUUUCUUUGGUUUCUUUUUUGUGUGUUUGUUUAUUUUAUUAGGUUUGCUCAGUGAAGUCUCUUUCAGCCCCACAGUGGUUUUGUACCUUCAAUAGUAUUUGAAACCAACCUUUGUAGUGAUGCCAUGAAGACCUUUUGCCUUUUCUUUUAUACUCCUGUUAUACCUUUUUACAACUUCUGUAUUCUUAGUGCUUUUUGCCUACAUUCUUGGACUUGUUUGUCAAGCUAAGAGACUAAACAUUUUAGAAGCUUCGUAUGUAAGGGUUAGUGUGCCCCAGACCCCAAGGUCCUCUCCAGAGCACAUUCUAUAAACCAAGAUAGAACCAUCCAGGGGAAGAUUCCUCAGGGAGGAUGGCUCGUUCAAUCCUCUCAUUGGGAAUUUUUUGAUAGAUAUGCUGAUUAGUAAAACCUAUAAUGUUGUACCAGAUCUUUUGAGGGUGUGCAUUGCGGUGCAUUCGACCUGGACGUGUGCACCUAAGGAUCCUUAAAAUAAAUACCAAGGUAAAAUCCCUUUUUCCCUUCUAACCGUGUUUGACUCUUGAUUUUAAGACCAGGAAAAGGCAUCAGUAUCACAUGCAAAUUUUAUGAACAUGCUACCUGUCUCCUUCUUCCAAAUCAUUAAAGAUGAUGUUAAUCCAGGCCAAAAUUAAUAUUGGUCCUGUGGUACUUCAUUAGACACUUACAGUUUAAAAUACCUGGUCAAAUCUACUCUUGUUAUAAAAAAAAAAAAAAAAAAAAAAAGGCUAAUUUCAAUGAAGUAGAAAACUUGCACCAAUGUAUGCUGUGGAUAUACUCACAGCACACUUAGCCAGCCAGGCUCAUAGUUCAGUGCCUUAGAAAGCCCUGAGCUGCCUAGAGAGACUGCACAGGCGAUCAAGCACUUCAGCAGCUCCAAAAGCGCCAAGUGGUAGCUGCAAAGCUGAUACCAAGAGCAGGAGCAAAGAGGUAGAAAUGUAGCCCUCGUUCUAUGCUUUAAUCCUGCCAGUAGAUUGUACUGGGUCCGAGACAGAGACACACACAGGCUGUUAGCAGAAGGGUAGCCUGAGCAAGAGAGGACGGAGCCCACUCCGCUUGUCUUUUAUUGGGGGGAAGGGAAAGGGGAGAACUAGGGGCAGACCCAGCGUACCCAGCCAAUCGGACUCUGCUUCGGUGGAAUCCGAGUUACUUUCAGUUUUACCCGCGCUUAGAACAAAGGGGAUUCAGAGCACAUGGCAGGGACAGGUCCUGGCUUCUCUGACCAGUCUUGGGCCUGGCUGCACCUCAGGGGCAGGCAGCAACAGUAUGCAAGCGAUGACUCUGGCCCAUUUCCUUUUGUCAUUAGCCUUUAUUUGUAGGCAAGAGUUCAAUUUACAGCAUUUAUUGAAACUGUCAAUAUUUUGCCGUUCAAGCAUAGCCUGAGCCUCAUGUGGUGCUCUCCUAUUUAGGAGCCUUGAUGGGUUUUGCUUUAUAAAGUGGCUGAGCACUUAUACUAUAACCUAAAGGUCCUUCUAAGACCUGCAGCCAUGAGAGCCAGCACAGCCGUAUGGGUCCUAUCUCCUUCCUCCAGCUCAGUCUGUGUCUGAUAGCUUCAGAUGAUGCCUCCUGCUUCUCCCAGGGGAACAAACAGGCUGGUCUUACCAUAGCUGCACAGUUUGCACAGAUGCUAGAUGGAUGUGAUCCCUCAAGCAAGCAAUUGGAAGGGAACUGCUUGCUUGGAUCAGCAUGUACUGCAAAGAUCAACAGAGGUGCAAAAUGUAGUGGGGGAAGAUGCCAACAUAUUUUAAAUCCAGAAAAAAACCCCAAACUAAACCAAAACAAUACACAAAAAAACCCAAACCAACAAAACCCAUGUCAUUUUAUCCAAUUAUCAGUAUAAUUACUAGAACAGUUGACUCUACAGACCAAAUAACUUGUAAAAUUCCUUUAAAGUGCAUGAUGAGGCUUUGAGAAAUGGUGUCUAGAGAAAGAUGUCCCUGUCAUGGCAGGGGGGCUGGAACUAGAUGAACUUCGAGGUCCCUUCCAACCCAAACCAUUCUAUGAUUCACAAUCUUUCUCCCACUUCUGCCCAUGUACAGCUUUUUAUUUUACUUCUUCAAUGACUCUAAAAGGUGUACUCUAGGCCAAAUACUAAAGGCCAGUAGUGUCCAGAGAAUAAAAGACAAUGAAAUAGUCCUCCUUUUCCUUUAGGAAAAGCAUUUUGUCCAUUGCCAAUGGGGUAAUGCACAAAACAUGCCGGGGCGGUAAAUGGAGCUUUCGCAGAAACAAUGAAUUUUUUUUCAUGUUGAUGAUAAGAAGGGAAGAUGGUUACUCAAUAUCAAGUGAAAAACAGAAUAGAUUUGCAGAUAGAAGAACCAGCUGUAGUUCUGAGUAGUCAUAGUAUCUGUUUCAAUUAAAAGAGGUGAAGUUCUAAAGUGCAGAGGGUUUCACCAACCACCACUUAAAUAGUUCUGCCAGAGGAAAAAGGAAAAUGAGGAAUGAAAUAUAAAACAUCACCCAUGCCUUUUGUUACACAGAGACAUUAAUUUCUUGUACAAUGAAUGAAGAUCUAUCUCAGUGCAAAGUCACUAUCCAGCCCAUUUGCAAUUAUUCUGUGGCUUCUUUUGCUAAAUACAAAAAAUAAGAUUUCUUGCAGGGGGG
Corvus hawaiiensis (hawaiian crow) is the source of this 11339-nucleotide long non-coding RNA. RefSeq lists it as uncharacterized. Lineage: Eukaryota; Metazoa; Chordata; Aves; Passeriformes; Corvidae. The record is from RefSeq and is a predicted model, not a curated record. The transcript has 2 exons.